This 210-nucleotide long non-coding RNA is filed under the name Lathyrus oleraceus (garden pea). RNAcentral's name for it is "Pisum sativum (pea) long non-coding RNA (PSAT_LNC026952)". Lineage: Eukaryota; Viridiplantae; Streptophyta; Magnoliopsida; Fabales; Fabaceae. The record is from RNAcentral.
AAAGAAGGAGGAGGGUGCAAAACCAAAAGAAAUCAAAAGAAAUCAAAUCAAAAGAAAAAAAAAACAAACAAAAGAAAGAUAGCACCCUCAAAGUCCCAAGUUGGCUGAUGCUGAAUUCGAUCGAAAAAGAGAUCAACUGCCAUGGUCAGUUAUGUCAGCAGAGAGUGAAGAAAGCAUUCGACGAGAAGAUCAAGCCUCGUGUGUUCCGAG